Molecule: ribosomal RNA, 305 nt
Filed under: uncultured bacterium
Lineage: Bacteria
Description: bacterial SSU rRNA
Rfam family: Bacterial small subunit ribosomal RNA
Source: RNAcentral
UUGACCUACGGGGCGCAGCAGUGGGGAAUAUUGGGCAAUGGGCGCAAGCCUGACCCAGCAACGCCGCGUGAAGGAAGAAGGCUUUCGGGUUGUAAACUUCUUUUCUUGGGGACGAACAAAUGACGGUACCCGAGGAAUAAGCCACGGCUAACUACGUGCCAGCAGCCGCGGUAAUACGUAGGUGGCAAGCGUUAUCCGGAUUUAUUGGGUGUAAAGGGCGUGUAGGCGGGAAUGCAAGUCAGAUGUGAAAACUAUGGGCUCAACCCCUAGCCUGCAUUUGAAACUGUCCGGCUGGAGUGCAGGAG